CAGUCGCCACGGGAAUACGGAGGGUGCAAGCGUUAAUCGGAAUUACUGGGCGUAAAGCGCACGCAGGCGGUCUGACAAGUCAGAUGUGAAAUCCCCGGGCUUAACCUGGGAACUGCAUUUGAAACUGUCAGGCUGGAGUCUUGUAGAGGGGGGUGGAAUUCCAGGUGUAGCGGUGAAAUGCGUAGAGAUCUGGAGGAAUACCGGUGGCGAAGGCGGCCCCCUGGACAAAGACUGACGCUCAGGUGCGAAAGCGUGGGGAGCAAACAGGAUUAGAUACCCGUGUAGUCCCUGUCUCUUAUAC
Molecule: ribosomal RNA, 301 nt
Filed under: uncultured bacterium
Lineage: Bacteria
Description: partial 16S ribosomal RNA
Rfam family: Bacterial small subunit ribosomal RNA
Source: RNAcentral